This 62-nucleotide transfer RNA is filed under the name Dryophiops rubescens. Its description in RNAcentral is "tRNA-Tyr". Lineage: Eukaryota; Metazoa; Chordata; Lepidosauria; Squamata; Colubridae. The record is from RNAcentral.
GGUAGUAUGGCUGAAUAAAGCGGUAAUCUGUAAAAUUACCCAUAGGACACUCCUUACUAUCA